AUGGAUCCCGUCUCUCUCUCUCUCUCUCUCACGUGUCUCUUCCUCCCCACAAGAAAAACAGAUCAAUAUCUCUUCCAAAUUCGUGCAUCUCUCUCACGUCUCUCUCUUCCUCUCCCAUGUCUCUCUUCCUUCACACAUGAAAAUCAGAUCAGAUCCGUGUCUCUCUCAAAUUGGAGCAAAGAACAUGGGGCAUGGAUCCCGUACCUCUCUCUCUCUCUCUCUCUCUCUCUCUCACGUGUCACUUCCUCCCCACAAGAAAAACAGAUCAAUAUCUCUUCCAAAUCGGAGCAAAAAACUUGGGGCAUGGAUCACGUGCGCCCACAGGCAAAGAAGUUGGAGCGUGAAUACCCCAAGCUCAAGGAGGUUAUCAUAUUAAAAUUUCCUCAUCUAGAUCAGGGAUUGCUGCAACACCCAAAUUAA
Molecule: ribosomal RNA, 420 nt
Filed under: Triticum aestivum (bread wheat)
Lineage: Eukaryota; Viridiplantae; Streptophyta; Magnoliopsida; Poales; Poaceae
Description: partial small subunit ribosomal RNA
Source: RNAcentral